This 476-nucleotide ribosomal RNA is filed under the name uncultured bacterium. Its description in RNAcentral is "bacterial SSU rRNA". It matches the Rfam family "Bacterial small subunit ribosomal RNA", at positions 28 to 474 of the family's 1533-position model. The record is from RNAcentral.
GACGAACGCNGGCGGCGUGCUUAACACAUGCAAGUCGAACGAAGAGCGAUGGAAGCUUGCUUCUAUCAAUCUUAGUGGCGAACGGGUGAGUAACGCGUAAUCAACCUGCCCUUCAGAGGGGGACAACAGUUGGAAACGACUGCUAAUACCGCAUACGAUCUAACCUCGGCAUCGAGGAAAGACGAAAGGUGGCCUCUAUGUAUAAGCUAUCACUGAAGGAGGGGAUUGCGUCUGAUUAGCUAGUUGGAGGGGUAACGGCCCACCAAGGCGAUGAUCAGUAGCCGGUCUGAGAGGAUGAACGGCCACAUUGGGACUGAGACACGGCCCAGACUCCUACGGGAGGCAGCAGUGGGGAAUCUUCCGCAAUGGACGAAAGUCUGACGGAGCAACGCCGCGUGAGUGAUGACGGCCUUCGGGUUGUAAAGCUCUGUUAAUCGGGACGAAAGGCCUUCUUGCGAAUAGNGAGAAGGAUGACG